CUGCUCCACGCUCAACAGCUGCUAGCGCGAUUGCUGCUGCUCAAGCUAUGCCGUCUAACUACUGGCUGGCUGGCUAUUUGCCUUUAUCGGCGGCAUUGUGGCCUCAGUUCAUUCGGAAUUGUUGAGGUGUUUGCACGCGUGCGACAAAAGUUGUUAGUCGGUGAGUCUCAACACAACUCGUAGUGGAAACAACAACAACAACAACAAUAGCAAGACUGGCAAUUGCAGCGCAUUACCACCCCUUGGGAUUAGAACAACCACUAACGAACGGGUAAUGUUGUUGUUUUUGGUUAAUGGUGGUGAUGGUGCAUCGUCGUACACUAACAAAAUAACAACAACAAUACUAGUGACAAGCAAACAACCCUUGAGUGUUGCUAAUAAGCGACGAACGCGUUGUGGCGCAUCGUGAAAUUUCGAAAACGCGCUUUGAAAACUAUUACUUUUGCGAUUCUUAAUUUCGUCAGCGAAACACUGUGUCAGUGCCACAGUGCGCUGGGGUAGGCCAAGAUAUACAAACCUUACUGCAAUUCUACUGGAUGUCUCAGUUUAACAUUAUUUUUACUUCUUCUUGUGAAACAGAAAUAGUUUUUUAAGCCCAAAUGGUCGCUUAUUAUCGAUAAUUGCAAUCAAGCGUUGCUUAAAAUCGCAAAAAUCUUAGAAAACGCUAAAGAAAACGAUUGCGAAAAAAUCCAAAAAUCAAAUUGCCAAAAAAGACCGGCACGAAACUAGCGAAUUUAAUACAACAAAAAACACAACCAAUUUUGCAAAAUACGCAUACAGAGUUUUAAGUGGCGAUAUUAUAGCCACCAUAAGAAAACAGCAACAAGAUAGCGGGCGAAAAAUAAUCAGAAUUGGUAAACAGAUUUGCGAACAAAUAAUGGGCAUAAAAAGUGGCUGAUGUUGGAAACUUAAUGAGCUGCGGAGUUAAACGAUACGUAAAGCACACAAAAUAAGAUAAACAAAAAACAAAAAUAAAAACAAAUACAAAAUAAAAAAAUAAAUAAAUGGAAAAUAAAUAUAAAUGAAUGAAAAUAAAUAAAAACGAAAAUAAAGUGGAAGCAAGUUGUUAAUACAACAGCAACGUAAAUAUUUAAUUGCAGUCAGUACAACAAAAACAAAAAAUAUAAAAAAAAAAUAUUACAACAAAACGUAUAGUAAAUAAAUUAAAGACAAAUGUGUAAAAAGUAAAGAAAAAAGUGUAAACAGUUAUUAAACAACAACAACAACAAAAAUAACAACAAAAACGUCAACAGCAUUGCAAAAUCGCGCAAAAUCACAUCCAAACAAACAAUU
Zeugodacus cucurbitae (melon fly) is the source of this 1293-nucleotide long non-coding RNA. RefSeq lists it as uncharacterized. The record is from RefSeq and is a predicted model, not a curated record. Lineage: Eukaryota; Metazoa; Arthropoda; Insecta; Diptera; Tephritidae. The transcript is spliced from 2 exons.